UUUGAAUUUUCGCACCUCGCGAGUUGCGGAGCCUGCGUCUCUGAAGCUGCCUGGGUGAAGAGCCACAGCAUUAUUUUUUUUCUCUUUGGGAGAGUAGCUGUCUGGGAUCUGUUUGAGAUCCUGUCUUCCCUGCAAAUUACCAGGUUGCAUCUUCACUGAUAGGAAUACAUUUCUUCACCAAAGGACAUGGAUGAAAAUGAAAGCAACCAGUCUCUGAUGACAAGCAGCCAAUAUCCUAAAGAAGCAGUAAGAAAACGUCAAAAUUCAGCACGGAAUUCCGGAGGAAGUGAUUCUUCUAGGUUUUCUAGGAAAAGCUUCAAACUGGAUUAUAGGCUAGAAGAAGAUGUAACUAAAUCCAAGAAAGGAAAAGAUGGGAGAUUUGUGAAUCCGUGGCCAACAUGGAAAAACCACUCUAUUCCACAUGUUCUCAGAUGGCUGAUAAUGGAGAAAGAUCACAGCAGUGUUCCAAGUUCUAAAGAGGUAGCGCUUGGCUUUUUUGAGUGCUUUAUAUUUGCUCUUCAUAUAUGACACUCUAGUUAUUUGAGCCCUUAUAUAUCAUAAGGCAUAGAAUUAGGUCUGAGGAGAUAAAGUGGAUAGGUGUAACCUAGGCCCUAAAGUUCAUCAUUCAGUAACAGAGUACAUAUAGGAAUAACCAACCCUGAUCUGGUGGCAACUAGAGGUAGGAACAGAGUGCUUUAGAGGUACAAGAAAGAAUGUGAUGCUGACAGGCAGAGCUGGAGAUGGCUUCACAGAGGAGGUGAAUAUUUCAGCUGGGCCUAGACAACUAAAAAGUAUUUUGACAGUGAUUUUCCAGGUAGAUGAUGGCAUGAACAAGGUCAUGAAGGUGAGACAGUGUAUUACAUGCUCUGCAAGGUAGUAGCCUGGUACAUGUGUGGAAUAUGGAUCAUGAGGGUGAAGGCAUGGCCUAGAGUGCUUGGCUUUUAACCGUUGGAUAAGGCUGCCAAAGCUGUGAAAGGGAGCUUCAGAUGACCUUUCCAGACCUUGAAAAGUUGACUCUAGGUUCCUAGCCUUUAAAUGUACUAGUUUUACUUAAGAUGAUUCUACUUGGCCUCCUCCUAUUCUGUUAGAAUAGAUAGAUCACAGUUUUAGGUUAAGUUGAUUUCAUGGUUUACACUGAGUAUAUCAGUAUUUUUCAUUGGUGAACGAAGUAAGUACUAUGGCUGUGUCUCCUUUCCUUAUAUACCUCUCCCUCUGCCAUGUUAACAACAUCUCUUUCAUCUGCUUGACUUUCUGUGUAUUUAUGACGAUUAUUUCCCUGCCUCCUAUGGCCUCUCAAUGCCAUUUUCCUGAGGGAAAGACUCUCAGGUGGUCGUUCAGCACUGGGCUGUAGUCUGAGCUGAUGCCUUCCCAGGGUCUCUGCCGACUUCCAUUCUAGGGCACCCUUCACCAGCCUCCUGGGCUGCCUUGUGUCUUCUAUGGUAGCCCUUAUUAUCUGCAUCCCACUUGUUCCUCUUUCUGUGUCAUUUUCUCAUUUUGGUGGAGCAUAUUUUCAGUGAACUUCCUGAGAAAGGGUACAUGGAAAGUAAGUUUUUUGAAAUCUUGCUUGUCUGAAAUGUCUUUAUUCUCACUCAUAAUUGAUAGUUUGGGUAUAGAAUUUUUGUUUAGAAACAGUUUUCUCUCAGAAUUUGAGAGUAUUGCCUCCAUAACUUUAUUUCUAGUAUGGCUAUGGGGAGGUUCAGUGCCAUCCUUACUCUCGAUCCUUUGAACAGGCCCUUUGUUUUCUCUCUAGAGACUUUGAGAAUCCUCUCUUUGGCACCAGUGUUCUGAAAAUUGCCAUGAUGUGUAGUUCUUUAUUUAUUCAUUGUGCUCUGUGUGUGGUGGGCCCUUUCAGUCUGAAAAUCCAUUUCCUUCAGUUCUAGGAAAUUUCGUCUGUAUCUUUGAAAAUGUCCUUCCCUACAUCUUUUUAUUCUAAAAUGACUAUUAGUUAUAGUAGUUCUAUUUUGGACCUCCUGGAUCAAUUCUCUGUAAUUUAAGAAAAUUUAUUCUAUGUUUUAUCUUUUUAAAAAUAUUACAUGGCCAGGUGCAGUGGCUCAUGCCUAUAAUACCCACACUUUAGGAGGCUGAGGCAGGUGAAUUGCUUGAGCUGAGGAGUUCAAGACCAGCCGGGGCAACAUAGCAAAAUGCCAUCUCUACCAAAAUAAAUAAAUAAAUAA
Molecule: small RNA, 2174 nt
Filed under: Pongo abelii (Sumatran orangutan)
Lineage: Eukaryota; Metazoa; Chordata; Mammalia; Primates; Hominidae
Description: retained intron
Source: RNAcentral